Molecule: long non-coding RNA, 247 nt
Filed under: Panax ginseng (ginseng)
Lineage: Eukaryota; Viridiplantae; Streptophyta; Magnoliopsida; Apiales; Araliaceae
Description: long non-coding RNA (PGIN_LNC002692)
Source: RNAcentral
ACAAAACACACAAAAAUAACAAUAAAAUAAAAAUAAAAUGAUCAUUUUCUAAUGCAAAUUAAUUCCCACAAUUAAUCCUUCCAAAUCAAAUGAAUGGCUAUCUUAUUUUCAUAAACUACAAGACACUAAAUCUAAAAGGACCAACAAAACUCAAGCUACACCAUUCAACCUUAACAAGAAUUAACCCUAAUUAAUUUUUCCCUUAAUAAAUUAAAUUAAACACAUGAUCUUUUAAUUCAUUCAAAAC